UAAUUCCGAGCUCAUGUUUGAGCUCGCAAUGUGUAUUUAACAUUCAAGUUUAGUUAGCUUGACGAAACUUAAUUACAACUUUACGUUGAACUUCAGAGAACGUCUCAAUCAUUAGAAAACUCAUGGAGAUAAUAUUUUUAUUAGUAGAUAUUUAGUUUACUCGACUAAUAACGAGUAAAAUAUAAAAUAUGUGUUUGUUCUUAUUAGAUAAGUUGGAAUAAAUUUUAUUUCUAAUUUUAAGCUUAAUUUUAUUUUAAAGGAUUUUGAAAGAAGAGCCUUGGAUAAGGGCAUCUUUAUCAUUUUAGUACUUUAUCCCGAGAUUAGUAAUUCUCGAAAUUAUUAUUCCACCAGUACCAUCAAUUUAAUGACGAACCACAUAACUAAUUGUUGUUGAAAAAAAAUCAUCGAGUUCUUUGGCAAUUUAUUGCUGACUGAAUUUCUUGCAGUCAAAAUGUCAAUAUACCUAUGACUUUUUGAAGACUUUUGUCGUAAAACUUCUUCUAAUUUUGGUAGUUUUAUUGUUGAAAUUUUUGUAAUCUAAAGUAGCCAUGUAAGAUGAAAAUGAACUAGUUUAUGAAAAAAAAGGUAUGAUAAUGAUGCAUAAAGGUUACAAUAAGGUUUGGAAAACACGAUUACUUAGACUAUAUGAUAUUAGGAUAUAAACUUUGUCUAUAAUUUUCGGUCAUGAGUUUCAAGCACAAACAAAUAAUAUUUUUAGGUGAUCAAUUUACUCAACUUGGUUGUGUUAAUUUACUGGCAAUUAUAAUACCUCUCAUCAAUAGCCCUUUUUGCCUUGCAUGUUAAUGUCCGCUAUAAAUUAUUUGAAAUGUAUUUCAAUAAAUGUCCUAAUAUGAUUUGCCAUUGCGCACAUUACAUCUCACAAUUGCUUAUAGAAAGUAGUAAGAGUUCAAUUUUGAUAAAG
RNAcentral lists this long non-coding RNA (922 nucleotides) under Nicotiana benthamiana. Its description in RNAcentral is "long non-coding RNA (NBEN_LNC002887)". The record is from RNAcentral. Lineage: Eukaryota; Viridiplantae; Streptophyta; Magnoliopsida; Solanales; Solanaceae.